GCCAGCAGCCAUAUCAAACUGCAACUCACAACUGGGAGCCCACUGAAGCCAAGCAGGUGUGAGCCUGGUCAGUACCUGGAUGGGAGACCACCUGGGAAAAACUAAGGUUGCUGCUGGAA
Lepisosteus oculatus (spotted gar) is the source of this 119-nucleotide ribosomal RNA. The record is from Ensembl. Lineage: Eukaryota; Metazoa; Chordata; Actinopteri; Semionotiformes; Lepisosteidae.